UACAGAGGGUGCGAGCGUUAAUCGGAAUUACUGGGCGUAAAGCGCGCGUAGGCGGCUUCGCAAGUCGGGUGUGAAAUCCCCAAGCUUAACUUGGGAACUGCAUUCGAGACUGCGUUGCUAGAGUAUGGGAGAGGGAAGUGGAAUUUCCGGUGUAGCGGUGAAAUGCGUAGAUAUCGGAAGGAACAUCAGUGGCGAAAGCGACUUCCUGGACCAAUACUGACGCUCAUGUGCGAAAGCGUGGGGAGCAAACAGG
RNAcentral lists this ribosomal RNA (253 nucleotides) under uncultured bacterium. RNAcentral describes it as "partial 16S ribosomal RNA". It matches the Rfam family "Bacterial small subunit ribosomal RNA", at positions 524 to 776 of the family's 1533-position model. The record is from RNAcentral.